RNAcentral lists this ribosomal RNA (292 nucleotides) under uncultured prokaryote. RNAcentral's name for it is "partial 16S ribosomal RNA". It matches the Rfam family "Bacterial small subunit ribosomal RNA", at positions 505 to 796 of the family's 1533-position model. The record is from RNAcentral.
GUGUCAGCCGCCGCGGUAAUACGUAGGUGGCAAGCGUUGUCCGGAAUUAUUGGGCGUAAAGGGCUCGCAGGCGGUUUCUUAAGUCUGAUGUGAAAGCCCCCGGCUCAACCGGGGAGGGUCAUUGGAAACUGGGGAACUUGAGUGCAGAAGAGGAGGGUGGAAUUCCACGUGUAGCGGUGAAAUGCGUAGAGAUGUGGAGGAACACCAGUGGCGAAGGUGACUCUCUGGUCUGUAGCUGACGCUGAGGAGCGAAAGCGUGGGGAGCGAAUAGGAUUAGAAACCUGUGUAGUCC